RNAcentral lists this unclassified non-coding RNA (678 nucleotides) under Hevea brasiliensis (rubber tree). The record is from RNAcentral. Lineage: Eukaryota; Viridiplantae; Streptophyta; Magnoliopsida; Malpighiales; Euphorbiaceae.
GUUCCAAUGCUAAGUGCUAUGUAAGAUUCUACAGCAUUUGAACAUGUGACAUGGGGUUGUUACUACAUGUGCAUGGAACGGGAAUCCAUUUGUCAUUCCAAACUUUAAUAUUCCUUGUCUUCAACAACCUUCAAUCCUGUGCUAAACAUACACUGCGCCACAUGUGGCUUGGAUUGAACACAACAUUAGCAGUAAGGGAAUCUUGAAUCUUCACCGUGGUAAUUGUGUGCUUAACAUACCCCAGCAAUCAAAGACAGGACUUUUGACCACUUUCCUGGGCCGUCUUACAAGAAGAGCCAAAUUAAAGGGAUGGGAAUAUGAAAUCCAGUCUUCAUCUGCUUUGGAUGGACACUUUUCAGUCCAUCUUAACUAAUGAAUUUUCUUUUCAUUCUCCUUCUGGCCCCUUCAAAACCUCCAUAUUGCAGAUUUAAUUUUAUCACAAAGGCUUUGAAACAGUAAAAAGUGGGCAUCACAUAACUAAGAAUUGCUUGGGUUAUAGAUUUAAUGAGAACCUCUUUACUCCUACAAAAUUUCUUUCCACUCUUGAAGUUCUUUUCCAUAUAGUUUUCUUAAUUGAAUGAAAUGAACUUUUCUGAUCUCAUGAUAGCAGUUGGCAAACCCAAAGAUUUUUCGUAUUUAUCAGUCUCCUUAACACCUAGGAUGUUAAUAUCAUUUGAU